This is a ribosomal RNA of 375 nucleotides. It matches the Rfam family "Bacterial large subunit ribosomal RNA", at positions 1968 to 2516 of the family's 2925-position model.
UUUGUUCCUUAAAUAGGGACUUGUAUGAAUGGCCACAAGAGGGCUUUACUGUCUCUUACUUCCAAUCCGUGAAAUUGACCUUCCCGUGAAGAGGCGGGGAUAUAACAAUAAGACGAGAAGACCCUAUGGAGCUUUAAUUAAUUGACCCAAAGAGACUCCAUAAAUUAACCGACAGGAACAACAAAUCUCUAUGUGGGCCAACAAUUUAGGUUGGGGUGACCUCGGAGAAUAAAACAACCUCCGAGUGAUUUAAAUCUAGACUAACCAGUCAAAAGUAUUACAUCACUUAUUGAUCCAAAAACACUUGAUCAACGGAACAAGUUACCCUAGGGAUAACAGCGCAAUCCUAUUUCAGAGGCCAUAUCGACAAUAGGG